UUCGCCUUCAUGAAGCCGGAAUUGCUAGUAAUGGCAGGUCAGCAUACUGCCGUGAAUACGUUCCCGGGCCUUGUACACACCGCCCGUCACACCAUGAGAGUUGGGAAUACCCGAAGCCUGUGAGCUAACGAAAGAGGCAGCAGUCGAAGGUAGAAUCAAUGAUUGGGGUGAAGUCGUAACAAGGUACC
Molecule: ribosomal RNA, 188 nt
Filed under: uncultured bacterium
Lineage: Bacteria
Description: partial 16S ribosomal RNA
Rfam family: Bacterial small subunit ribosomal RNA
Source: RNAcentral